GACGAACGCUGGCGGCGUGGAUUAGGCAUGCAAGUCGAACGGUAUCAUCCUUUCGGGGGUGAGAGAGUGGCGAACUGGUGAGUAACACGUAGGUUAUCUACCCUCAAGACGGGGACAACCCAGGGAAACUUGGGCUAAUACCGGAUGUGAGCAACUUUUAGUUGUUUGAAAGGUGGCGUAAGCUGUCGCUUGGGGAUGAGCCUGCGUCCUAUUAGUUAGUUGGUGAGGUAACGGCUCACCUAGGCAAUGAUAGGUAGGCGGCCUUAACGGGUGGUCGCCCACACUGGGAUUGAGAUACGGCCCAGACUCCUACGGGAGGCAGCAGUCGAGAAUAGUCUACAAUGGUCGGAAGACUGAUAGUGCGACGCCGCGUGCAGGAAGGAGCCCUUCGGGGUGUAAACUGCUGUCGUGUAGGGAGAAGGGUACUAAGGUGAACAAUCUUAGUACUUGACGGUACUACAGGAGGAAGCCCAGGCUAACCUCGUG
This 486-nucleotide ribosomal RNA is filed under the name uncultured bacterium. RNAcentral's name for it is "bacterial SSU rRNA". It matches the Rfam family "Bacterial small subunit ribosomal RNA", at positions 28 to 507 of the family's 1533-position model. The record is from RNAcentral.